RNAcentral lists this ribosomal RNA (840 nucleotides) under Bacillus cereus. Its description in RNAcentral is "partial 16S ribosomal RNA". It matches the Rfam family "Bacterial small subunit ribosomal RNA", at positions 635 to 1475 of the family's 1533-position model. The record is from RNAcentral. Lineage: Bacteria; Bacillati; Bacillota; Bacilli; Caryophanales; Bacillaceae.
UGGAGACUUGAGUGCAGAAGAAGAAAAGUUGAAUUCCAUGUGUAGCGGUGAAAUGCGUAGAGAUAUGGAGGAACACCAGUGGCGAAGGCGGACUUUCUGGUCUGUUACUGACCAUGAGGCGCGAAAGCGUGGGGAGCAAACAGGAUUAGAUACCCUGGUAGUCCACGCCGUAAACGAUGAGUGCUAAGUUUAGAGGGUUUUCGGCCUUUAGUGCUGAAGGUAACGCAUUAAGCACUCCGCCUGGGGAGUACGGCCGCCAAGCUGAAACUCAAAGGAAAUGACGGGGGCCCGCACAAGCGGUGGAGCAUGUUGUUUAAUUUGAAGCAACGCGAAGAACCCUACCCGGUCUUGACCUCCUUUGACAACCCCAGAGAUAGGGGUUUUCCUUUGGGAGCAGAAUGACCGGUGGUGCAUGGUUGUUGUCAACUCGUGUUGUGAGAUGUUGGGUUAAGUCCCGCAACGAGCGCCACCCCUGAUUUUAGUUGCCCUCCUUUAAUUGGGCCCUUUAAGGGGGCCGCCGGGGGCAAACCGGAGGAAGGGGGGGAAGGCGUCAAAUCAUCCUGCCCCUUAUGACCUGGGGUACCCCCCUGGUUCCAAGGGCGGUACAAAGAGGUGCCAGGCCCCGAGGGGGAGGUAAUUUCAUAAAACCGUUUUCAGUUUGGAUUGUUGGGUGCAACUUGCCUACCUGAAGCCGGAAUCGCUUGUAAUCGCGGAUCAGCCUGCCGCGGGGAAUACGUUCCCGGGCCUUGUACCCCCCCCCCGUCCCCCCCCGAGAGUUUGUAACCCCCGAAGUCGGUGGGGUAACCUUUUGGAGCCAGCCGCCUAAGUGAUCAGAUCUGU